Molecule: ribosomal RNA, 440 nt
Filed under: uncultured bacterium
Lineage: Bacteria
Description: partial 16S ribosomal RNA
Rfam family: Bacterial small subunit ribosomal RNA
Source: RNAcentral
CCUACGGGAGGCAGCAGUGGGGAAUAUUGCACAAUGGGGGAAACCCUGAUGCAGCGACGCCGCGUGAGUGAAGAAGUAAUUCGGUAUGUAAAGCUCUAUCAGCAGGGAAGAAAAUGACGGUACCUGAGUAAGAAGCCCCGGCUAACUACGUGCCAGCAGCCGCGGCAAUACGUAGGGGGCAAGCGUUAUCCGGAUUUACGGGGUGUAAAGGGAGCGUAGACGGCAGUGCAAGUCUGGAGUGAAAGGCGGGGGCUCAACCCCCGGACUGCUCUGGAAACUGUACGGCUGGAGUGCAGGAGAGGUAAGUGGAAUUCCUAGUGUAGCGGUGAAAUGCGUAGAUAUUAGGAGGAACACCAGUGGCGAAGGCGGCUUACUGGACUGUAACUGACGUUGAGGCUCGAAAGCGUGGGGAGCAAACAGGAUUAGAUACCCGGGUAGUC